UCGUCAUCUACAUCGUCUUCACUUGUUCUUUGAUUUUGAUUUCUACUCAUGGACUGCAUAAAUUGUCUCAUUUGCUCCUCCAUAUCGUGUUGUCUUUUUUUCAUUUCCUCUAAUUCGGCCUUUAACGCCGCCUCACGCUCCGCCGUCUCUCGUCUAGCCUCUGUUAGAGCCAGUUGCCUCACCGUUUCCAUCAUUUCAGGUGUCAAUUGUGUUGGACGGGACGUUCCUUCCCCACUUGCAACUCUAUCAAAUAAAGUUCUAUCUCCGGUUCUGUAGUUGCCAGCCAAAGGACCAACACCAAAAAA
This 305-nucleotide long non-coding RNA is filed under the name Lathyrus oleraceus (garden pea). RNAcentral describes it as "Pisum sativum (pea) long non-coding RNA (PSAT_LNC022616)". Lineage: Eukaryota; Viridiplantae; Streptophyta; Magnoliopsida; Fabales; Fabaceae. The record is from RNAcentral.